GUGAGGAAUUUUCCGCAAUGGGCGCAAGCCUGAUCCAGCAAUGCCGCGUGCAGGAAGAAGGCCUUCGGGUUGUAAACUGCUUUUGUACGGAACGAAACGGUCCUGGUUAAUACCUGGGGCUAAUGACGGUACCGUAAGAAUAAGCACCGGCUAACUACGUGCCAGCAGCCGCGGUAAUACGUAGGGUGCGAGCGUUAAUCGGAAUUACUGGGCGUAAAGCGUGCGCAGGCGGUGCUGUAAGACAGGCGUGAAAUCCCCGGGCUCAACCUGGGAAUUGCGCUUGUGACUGCAGUGCUGGAGUACGGCAGAGGGGGAUGGAAUUCCGCGUGUAGCAGUGAAAUGCGUAGAUAUGCGGAGGAACACCGAUGGCGAAGGCAGUCCCCUGGGCCUGUACUGACGCUCAUGCACGAAAGCGUGGGGAGCAAACAGGAUUAGAAACCCCUGUAGUCC
This 450-nucleotide ribosomal RNA is filed under the name uncultured bacterium. RNAcentral's name for it is "partial 16S ribosomal RNA". It matches the Rfam family "Bacterial small subunit ribosomal RNA", at positions 354 to 796 of the family's 1533-position model. The record is from RNAcentral.